RNAcentral lists this ribosomal RNA (468 nucleotides) under uncultured bacterium. RNAcentral describes it as "partial 16S ribosomal RNA". It matches the Rfam family "Bacterial small subunit ribosomal RNA", at positions 28 to 507 of the family's 1533-position model. The record is from RNAcentral.
GACGAACGCUGGCGGCGUGCUUAACACAUGCAAGUCGAACGGACAGGCCCUGCUUUUGUGGGGUGCUCGAGUGGCGAACGGGUGAGUAACACGUGAGUAACCUGCCCUUGACUUUGGGAUAACUUCAGGAAACUGGGGCUAAUACCGGAUAGGAGCUCCUGCUGCAUGGUGGGGGUUGGAAAGUUUCGGCGGUUGGGGAUGGACUCGCGGCUUAUCAGCUUGUUGGGGGGGUAGUGGCUUACCAAGGGUUUGACGGGUAGCCGGCCUGGGAGGGUGACCGGCCACAUUGGGACUGAGAUACGGCCCAGACUCCUACGGGAGGCAGCAGUGGGGAAUAUUGCACAGUGGGCGGAAGCCUGAUGCAGCAACGCCGCGUGCGGGAUGACGGCCUUCGGGUUGUAAACCGCUUUCGCCUGUGACGAAGCGUGAGUGACGGUAAUGGGUAAAGAAGCACCGGCUAACUACGUG